UACGUAGGGGGCUAGCGUUGUCCGGAUUUAUUGGGCGUAAAGAGCGUGUAGGCGGCCAGGUAGGUCUGGUGUGAAAACUCGAGGCUUAACCUCGAGAUGUCAUCGGAAACCAUCUGGCUAGAGUCCGGAAGAGGAGAGUGGAAUUCCUGGUGUAGCGGUGAAAUGCGCAGAUAUCAGGAAGAACACCAAUGGCAAAAGCAGCUCUCUGGGACGGUACUGACGCUGAGACGCGAAAGCGUGGGGAGCGAACAGG
RNAcentral lists this ribosomal RNA (253 nucleotides) under uncultured bacterium. RNAcentral's name for it is "partial 16S ribosomal RNA". It matches the Rfam family "Bacterial small subunit ribosomal RNA", at positions 524 to 776 of the family's 1533-position model. The record is from RNAcentral.